UACAGAGGGGGCAAGCGUUGUUCGGAAUUACUGGGCGUAAAGGGCGCGUAGGCGGCCUUCUAAGUCAGACGUGAAAUCCCCCGGCUUAACCUGGGAACUGCGUCUGAUACUGGAGGGCUUGAGUGCGGGAGAGGGAUGUGGAAUUCCAGGUGUAGCGGUGAAAUGCGUAGAUAUCAUGAGGAAUACCAGAGGCGAAGGCGGCUACCUGGACAAUUGCUGACGCUCAGGCACGAAAGCGUGGGGAGCAAAAGGG
RNAcentral lists this ribosomal RNA (253 nucleotides) under uncultured bacterium. RNAcentral describes it as "partial 16S ribosomal RNA". It matches the Rfam family "Bacterial small subunit ribosomal RNA", at positions 524 to 776 of the family's 1533-position model. The record is from RNAcentral.